This 440-nucleotide ribosomal RNA is filed under the name uncultured bacterium. RNAcentral's name for it is "bacterial SSU rRNA". It matches the Rfam family "Bacterial small subunit ribosomal RNA", at positions 338 to 791 of the family's 1533-position model. The record is from RNAcentral.
CCUACGGGUGGCAGCAGUGGGGAAUCUUGCGCAAUGGGCGAAAGCCUGACGCAGCGACGCCGCGUGAGGGAUGAAGGCUCUCGGGUUGUAAACCUCUUUCAGCGGGGACGAAGCGAAAGUGACGGUACCCGCAGAAGAAGCCCCGGCCAACUACGUGCCAGCAGCCGCGGUAAUACGUAGGGGGCGAGCGUUGUCCGGAUUUAUUGGGCGUAAAGGGCUCGUAGGUGGCUUGGUAAGUCGGACGUAAAAGUCCAGGGCUCAACCCUGGGAUGCGUUCGAUACUGUCAGGCUAGAGGCCGGUAGGGGGAUCUGGAAUUCCUGGUGUAGCGGUGAAAUGCGCAGAUAUCAGGAGGAACACCGGUGGCGAAGGCGGGAUCCUGGGCCGGACCUGACACUGAUGAGCGAAAGCUGGGGGAGCGAACAGGAUUAGAUACCCUAGU